CAUCCAUGUCAGCAUGGCCAUGGAUUGCACACAUGCAUAGCCACAGUCAAUGUUGUAAAUUAAAUACAUUGACUUUUAAAAUUCGCUGCAAACAGUAUGAAUUCGAAAAGAGAUGACUAUUCCAAUUUGUCAAGAGAGAAUUUGAUAGAAAAAGUCCAGACCCUUGAGCGACAUGUUAAACAGCUGCAGAAUGUUUUAUCACGGGGCAAGAGUGAAGAGAGGGCAAAGAAGAGGAAGGAAGCAAGACCAUUCGAUUUCACAAAGUACAACACGAGGCAUGUAGCACUCAAGUUCCUCUAUCUUGGUUGGGAUUACCAGGGCUUUGCAGUCCAAGAAGACACAGAGAAAACCAUAGAACAUGAGUUGUUUGAUGCACUUAACAAGACUAAAUUGAUUGAAUCAAGGGAGACGUCUAAUUACCAUAGGUGUGGCAGGACAGAUAAAGGUGUCAGUGCCUUCUCUCAGGUGAUUUCGUUAGAUCUGCGAACAAACCUUCUUUCUGGUGUCGGUGUCAAGGCAAGGGAGGGUGGCAUGGCCCCUGAACGGCCUGGAGACAAGUCCAAGGAAAUUAACUACAUUCAUAUCUUGAAUAAAGUGCUGCCAAAAGAGAUAAGAAUCGUAGCUUGGGCACCUGUGAAUCCUGAAUUUAGUGCAAGAUUCAGCUGCACGAAGAGGCAAUACAAAUACAUUUUUCCCAGGGGGGAUAUGAAUAUUGAAGCAAUGCAUAUUGCUGCACAAAAACUUGUUGGAGAACAUGAUUUCCGCAACUUCUGCAAAAUGGACAUCAGUAAUGGCGUGGUGAUGUAUACACGGCGGAUACUAGCAGUGUCGAUUGACUAUAUAACGGACGGGCACGAUGGAUAUCAGUUAUGUGAACUAACAAUAGAAGGAAAUGCUUUCCUGUGGCACCAAAUACGUUGUAUUGUGACCAUUCUGUUCCUCGUUGGACAAGGAAAGGAAAUGCCACAAAUUAUUGAUGAGUUAUUUGAUAUCACUGUUCAUCCAAGAAAACCCCAGUAUACCAUGGCUUCAGAGCUGCCAUUGAUUCUCUUUGACUGUGAGUAUGAAGAUAUCAAGUGGAUAUAUGAUCAAGAGAAUAUGAAGUCAACUCUUGUCAACAUGCAGAGAUUAUGGACUGCAGAAACAACCAAGGCUACUAUCACCAAGAGAAUGUUGGACAAAUUGGAGUCUACUCAAGUAGCAACCGCAGAUGAUGGCACAUCUUGUGUAGCCGUACAGAGCCAGGCUGAAUGUAUUAUUCCUGGAAACAAAACUCGCAUUUAUAAGCCGUUACUUGAAAGACAAACUUGUGAUAGUCUUGAGGAGCGGCUAGAUGCCUUAGCAAAGAGGAGGAAAAUCCAAUCGUCAUUUCCAAUUGAGGAGAAGGAGGAGAAAGUUGAAUCCCCUAAAACUGCUGGUAAUGUGACAUUACUCAAAAAGGAUGAUGAUGCAUUCAUGUUGACUGCUCCGGGGAACAGUUUGAUAUCAGUUUCUGUUGAUUCUUUGGAGGAUUCAUAGCUUUCAGUCUAGGGACGGCAAAAGUCAUUUUCUUUGAUAACAAUCUAAUCUGUUCAAAAUUUGAAGUAUUAAGUGUGCUUGACUCCAUAAACUUUGAAUAAUGACUAUUAUCACAAAAUUUUGAAGAAAAAUCUCUCGAGACUAACUGUAUGUAUAGGUAUGUGAUUAGAGUGGGACAAAGCAGAAAAACUGAUCACAAACCUAGACUACAACAAAACGAAAAUACAAAGAGGCCAUUCAGAUCAGAAGAUUAAAUCCAACAAUUAAUAGAGAUGAAGAAUUUGACAUUUCCAGGGCACACCAAACCUUAAUCCACCAAAUAAAACUCUAAUCACAUACUUGUACAUAUAGAAUCAUUAGAACUGUUUCCAAUUCACAUACGACGUUGAAAAGACAGUAGGCCCACAAGGCCUAUUGUUAAAAAAUUAGAAUAUACAUUAUACUGUCAUGGGUAACUGGUCUAAAAUGUAAUUACGUCGCUGGCCUACUGUUAUAAACUAGCCCAGAAAGUUUGCCUCUGAUCAAUGCCUACUAACAUGUCACGUUGAAAACACCGGUUCUCGUCCGAUCACCAAAGUCGACAUGGCAAUUACGUUGCUGGGUGAUACACGACCACACAAGUAUUUUGGCAUGUGCACUCUAAAAGCUAGGGGUGCCAAAAGGGUGCUAUGACUGUUGCCUCUGGUCAGUGUCUUCACAUCAUUCUCAUCAACGAACGGAAAAGCAUAUAUACUCUUUUGUCGCCUGAUAGCUUUAAUCACCUUAAUAUGCCUAAAUAUGCCUAAAUAUGAAAAAGUUCAGGAUUCUGCAUGCAUCAAGAUUAUUUUCCUGUUAUGCCUGGAGGCACAAGUCACCAUACACAUGAUUGACCGAUAACACAGGGCAUGCACCUGGUGAAUGUCUGGUCAUCCCUAAAAAUAGCGCGGGAUAGUCUGACCAUCGCAAGUAGGCUAUAAAUUAGGUUAAAUUCCACACGUAGCACAGAGGAGUCUAUUUCAAGGGCCAAUCAAAACAAGGAUAGCUCCCUACUACAACCUCGGUCCCAUGAAUGUUUGCCUUUUCAGGUUUCAUAUUUGCAAUACAUCUUGUGACGCAUGGUACUCUCACCGAAGUUGGCAUCUCGCGAUUUUGCAUUCCACAUCCCGCGGUUUAUAAUAAGCCACACAACACACUUGUAGAAACAUCUACUUUCUCUUUCGUAACAGAUUUGGAUUGAGCAAUGUAUCUCUUUGGAUUUUCACCAACAAAGAUAUUCUUGGUAUUCUUGAUCUUACACUGCUGCGUGUAGUUAACCUGGAGUAGACCUGUGCUGAUCAUUGCGUUCGGUUUCACAAAACAAACCAGCAGAUCUUUCAAGAGCCUCAUCUGGCACCAUGGAUUUGUCUGACUGCAGCUCAAUAUUUGCCUUCUUGAAUGUUGGAAUAACAGCUGCCUGGAAACAAAUGGUCAGCUUCCAUGUUGGGGAUACCAGUCUGUCCUUCACUUUGCACUUGGAAUCACUGAAAUGAAAGACAUAGAGUUAAGAUAGUCUUGAGGAGCGGCUAGAUGCCUUAGCAAAGAGGAGGAAAAUCCAAUCGUCAUUUCCAAUUGAGGAGAAGGAGGAGAAAGUUGAAUCCCCUAAAACUGCUGGUAAUGUGACAUUACUCAAAAAGGAUGAUGAUGCAUUCAUGUUGACUGCUCCGGGGAACAGUUUGAUAUCAGUUUCUGUUGAUUCUUUGGAGGAUUCAUAGCUUUCAGUCUAGGGACGGCAAAAGUCAUUUUCUUUGAUAACAAUCUAAUCUGUUCAAAAUUUGAAGUAUUAAGUGUGCUUGACUCCAUAAACUUUGAAUAAUGACUAUUAUCACAAAAUUUUGAAGAAAAAUCUCUCGAGACUAACUGUAUGUAUAGGUAUGUGAUUAGAGUGGGACAAAGCAGAAAAACUGAUCACAAACCUAGACUACAACAAAACGAAAAUACAAAGAGGCCAUUCAGAUCAGAAGAUUAAAUCCAACAAUUAAUAGAGAUGAAGAAUUUGACAUUUCCAGGGCACACCAAACCUUAAUCCACCAAAUAAAACUCUAAUCACAUACUUGUACAUAUAGAAUCAUUAGAACUGUUUCCAAUUCACAUACGACGUUGAAAAGACAGUAGGCCCACAAGGCCUAUUGUUAAAAAAUUAGAAUAUACAUUAUACUGUCAUGGGUAACUGGUCUAAAAUGUAAUUACGUCGCUGGCCUACUGUUAUAAACUAGCCCAGAAAGUUUGCCUCUGAUCAAUGCCUACUAACAUGUCACGUUGAAAACACCGGUUCUCGUCCGAUCACCAAAGUCGACAUGGCAAUUACGUUGCUGGGUGAUACACGACCACACAAGUAUUUUGGCAUGUGCACUCUAAAAGCUAGGGGUGCCAAAAGGGUGCUAUGACUGUUGCCUCUGGUCAGUGUCUUCACAUCAUUCUCAUCAACGAACGGAAAAGCAUAUAUACUCUUUUGUCGCCUGAUAGCUUUAAUCACCUUAAUAUGCCUAAAUAUGCCUAAAUAUGAAAAAGUUCAGGAUUCUGCAUGCAUCAAGAUUAUUUUCCUGUUAUGCCUGGAGGCACAAGUCACCAUACACAUGAUUGACCGAUAACACAGGGCAUGCACCUGGUGAAUGUCUGGUCAUCCCUAAAAAUAGCGCGGGAUAGUCUGACCAUCGCAAGUAGGCUAUAAAUUAGGUUAAAUUCCACAGGUAGCACAGAGGAGUCUAUUUCAAGGGCCAAUCAAAACAAGGAUAGCUCCCUACUACAACCUCGGUCCCAUGAAUGUUUGCCUUUUCAGGUUUCAUAUUUGCAAUACAUCUUGUGACGCAUGGUACUCUCACCGAAGUUGGCAUCUCGCGAUUUUGCAUUCCACAUCCCGCGGUUUAUAAUAAGCCACACAACACACUUGUAGAAACAUCUACUUUCUCUUUCGUAACAGAUUUGGAUUGAGCAAUGUAUCUCUUUGGAUUUUCACCAACAAAGAUAUUCUUGGUAUUCUUGAUCUUACACUGCUGCGUGUAGUUAACCUGGAGUAGACCUGUGCUGAUCAUUGCGUUCGGUUUCACAAAACAAACCAGCAGAUCUUUCAAGAGCCUCAUCUGGCACCAUGGAUUUGUCUGACUGCAGCUCAAUAUUUGCCUUCUUGAAUGUUGGAAUAACAGCUGCCUGGAAACAAAUGGUCAGCUUCCAUGUUGGGGAUACCAGUCUGUCCUUCACUUUGCACUUGGAAUCACUGAAAUGAAAGACAUAGAGUUAAGAUAGUCUUGAGGAGCGGCUAGAUGCCUUAGCAAAGAGGAGGAAAAUCCAAUCGUCAUUUCCAAUUGAGGAGAAGGAGGAGAAAGUUGAAUCCCCUAAAACUGCUGGUAAUGUGACAUUACUCAAAAAGGAUGAUGAUGCAUUCAUGUUGACUGCUCCGGGGAACAGUUUGAUAUCAGUUUCUGUUGAUUCUUUGGAGGAUUCAUAGCUUUCAGUCUAGGGACGGCAAAAGUCAUUUUCUUUGAUAACAAUCUAAUCUGUUCAAAAUUUGAAGUAUUAAGUGUGCUUGACUCCAUAAACUUUGAAUAAUGACUAUUAUCACAAAAUUUUGAAGAAAAAUCUCUCGAGACUAACUGUAUGUAUAGGUAUGUGAUUAGAGUGGGACAAAGCAGAAAAACUGAUCACAAACCUAGACUACAACAAAACGAAAAUACAAAGAGGCCAUUCAGAUCAGAAGAUUAAAUCCAACAAUUAAUAGAGAUGAAGAAUUUGACAUUUCCAGAUGAAGAAUUUGACAUUCGCGCUGCGAGCGACCUUGGGAAAGCCGAACAGAUGGUAUUUUCAGGUAGUCAAGGCAUUUCUUUGUAAUAUGUGCAAAAAAGUCGGACUGGAUUCUCUAAGAGGACACCUCCGUUGUCAUGAGAUACCAAAUUUUAUGAAAAGGGCAGAGUUUCACCUCGGGCAUACUGAAAAUGCGUUGAAGAAAACGAUGAUGCACUGUUGUUUCAAACGGCGCUCUGUUCACCAAUAUUGCAUAUUUCAUAUAGAUUUCUGUUGGAAAUUAUUCACAGCUACGUGGUUAAGUUGAAAUUAAUAGUUUCUGAGCUCAUGAAAAUGUCGUCAUUACGUCUUAAAGGUCAUAUAUCAAGGUUUGAAAACAUGCUUGAUACUCAUGAAAUAUGUUGAGGGUUAAAAAAACAAGAUCCCAGACAUUAAAAAAAUUCUAAUAAUAAAGUCAUUAUUUAGUUAUUUCAAUUUUCAAUUUGAAACUAUUUGAAUUUCCCACCACACACAACUUUAGAUUAGUUCCACAUGUGGCCGCUAGGGAUUUUUUGAUGACGUAGGUCAGGUCAGUCAGAACAAAGCAAGAUGGCUUCCGCAUACAGUUCAGAGAGUGAGAGCAGUGAAUUUGAGGAUGUUUUGGUCGAUACAGAAGGAUAUUUAAACGUUGAGCCAUACAUGUUCGAGCCAUUGAUAUCACUAGAUCAUAAUGAGAGUGAUCAUUCGGACGAAAGUGAUGAUUUGCAUGGCAGACCUGCCGAUAUAGCAAAGAAGACAUUGAUAGAUGGUUGCAGAUGCAUAACAUGUAUGAUUUUUGAACAGACUAAUGUUGCACAAUAUUGUUUCGCCUCGUCUGUGUUGUAUCGCCAGUUAUGUCAUGACGCUGAACUACUAUUGAAAAGUGACGGUAUUAUGCACAAUCAUCUUGACGUGACGAUAUAAUGCCGUGCAACGUUAGAUAGGCCUAGAUGUCAGAUGACAAUAAUCUGUCAUUGACAGUGGCUGUCACUGACACUGACCUGUGUCGCUGUCACCUCGCUGUCACCUUGCUAUGGCUGGAACACAAGAAGACACUAUGCGGUAUCACAGGCCCCAAUAGGGCCUACACAUUAUGUAUAACAACCGACCUCAGCAGCCUCGGGCAUUAAAUGCAAUUGACAUGGUUGUGUAGCCACUGUACAGUGGAUGACAUGUGCCAUUUGGGUAGUAUGAGUGUUGUGUGCAUCAGCAGUGUAUAAAUCAUGAAAUAGUGUUCAACUCA
Molecule: RNA transcript, 6532 nt
Organism: Lineus longissimus
Lineage: Eukaryota; Metazoa; Nemertea; Pilidiophora; Heteronemertea; Lineidae
Gene name: tRNA pseudouridine(38/39) synthase-like
Exons: 11
Source: RefSeq, a predicted model, not a curated record